Helianthus annuus (common sunflower) is the source of this 2147-nucleotide RNA transcript. It is a transcript of the gene named ATP-citrate synthase beta chain protein 1, with no coding region annotated. NCBI's taxonomy places the organism in Eukaryota, Viridiplantae, Streptophyta, Magnoliopsida, Asterales, Asteraceae. The record is from RefSeq and is a predicted model, not a curated record. The transcript is spliced from 9 exons.
UAUAUACUAUAUAUAAGCAUUUUCCAUGUCUAAAGUUGUAAUUUACAUCCUAUUUUUUAAGAUGGCAUGUGAAAAGGUAGUUAAAAUCCCUAAUUUUUUACCUUUUUCUUCCCAUUAUACCCCUCUUAACCUUCUUUCAUCAAUUCUAACCUAUGAUAAAACUGAAACCGUCUAAAAUGAUAAUCACCUUCUUCAAUGUGCAAUUCAAUUCAUACCUUUAAGUCUUCAACCCCUCCGACUUCACUUAAAUCAGCCUUCAAUUCGGCAAACGAAGCAAAUUGGACUUCAAUUUAUUCAAUGGAGCAUGCCUUCAAUUCGAUUUUGGUAUUAAAGAAGUAAUCUCAUCACCCUGGUCUUUUUAAUCCCAUCCCCUGGUUGUUCAUGCCAUAUUUUGACUUGAACUCGAACGAAACACAACAAUAACCGGAAUAUCUGAAGCCACCAGCUAUGGAGUCUGUGCUCUCCUUCUAUUUGCCACCGUGUUUGAUUCUUUUAUCUCAACAUCCCAACGCAGGUAACUCUAAUUUCAAUCGUUAGGGUUUUGAUUGAUGAUUUGUUGUUUUUUUUCUUGCUUUUUAUAAUAGAUCUGGAUUCUGGAAACUGCUGCUUCAUGCUUACUACAAUUAGUAUUGACAGAGGUUUACUAACAAUGGAUCUUCGUUUUGGCGAUGUCAUUGAUGACGCGGCUCGAUACUUUAAGGAUGCAUAUAACAGAGUAGAGCUAUAACGGACACACAACGGAGAUUCCAUUUUCCGGUGUCGGUUUCAUCAUUACAAGAGCGGUAGGGUUGUUUUUGGAGAGUACAACCGUUACUCCGAUUGUUUGGUUGUGAUAGAAAAUAUUCAAGGGCGGACUAGAGUUCAGGAUAGGAAUCCAGUCGCACCAUAGGUACAUCUUCAAUGAUCAGUCCGGUUUCUGAUCCCUCACGAAGCCCUUUGCUCAAACCGUGCACGUCGACGUCCACUCAGGACAAAUAGACGGAAGGAAAAUCAACUUAGUCGCCACCACCGUUGCCAAGCAUCGUUGGCAACUAUUUACGAGCACAACUUUACGUUAAAACACGUAUGAAGAUUGUUAGCGAAAUGAUAAUGUUGUCAAAUUUUCUAAAUGGUUUACCAUGGAAAACAAAUGGUUUGUCAUCGAGGAGGAUUUAAGCAACUCGAAGUCUUGAUAUAAUGGAAGCUGCAAGGGUUGGAGGAAUGGGACGUGGAGGACAAAGCAAAGGACAACCUUAAAAAUUAGACAUCAGACGUUGCCAUAAGUUAAAAAACAACCCUUGCAGAAUACUAAUAAAAUCAAGGCACCUGGAGAGAUUAAAUUGACAUACAUGCACAAUGACUCUCUAGACCAGAUCACAAAGGAAAUAUCCAGACAUUACUCUUACAACCAACCAUUAGAAGUUAGUUCCCUUGCAUUAAUGGAAGAUAAAAGUAUGCAAGGACAAAGCUCCAAAAGACGUAUGAAUGCUUAUGAAAAGAGUAGAAUGUCAAGGAUUCAAUAGAAUCAAAAAAAAUUACAAGCUUUGGGAUUGAAAAAUAUUGUUAAAUCUUUGAGAAGUCUAGCAGAGAGUGACAAAACAAAGAAAAAGAAAAAGAAAUCAAUGGAUACCAACGAGAAAGAUAUAGAUGUAGAGUAUAUGCUUGGUUCUGAUGUUGAUGUUGAGCAAGAUUAUCAAGAAGCUGCUACAAAAAUCUCUAAAAAGAAACAAUGUCCAACAUACAUUGCUCCGCAGUCCCUGAAAAGAUAUACUAAUUUGUUUGAAAACUAAAAUCUACGUCGAAGAUGAAGUUUUCCUCAAAAGCAUUCUAAACUCUACCGAGAUUGUUGCAAGAGGAAGGGUCCAGAGCUUGGACCCAAAUGAUCUAGUUGGUGGUACAGAGAUUGGACCAGAAUGGUGUGAGGUAAAUGUUCAAGUACCAAUAAAAAAGAUGAAAACUUGGUAAGACCAUAUGGUUUAUUUUCUACAAUUCAAGAUUGUAUUGGUGCAUCCAUCGCAUGGCCCUAUCCAUUCAUCUCGGUAGUCUAUGAGGAUUGAGGAUGCAUGAUGAAUCAAGAUUCUAUGCUUCUUAUUUCUUUAAUUGCUUUUAAUUUCUUUGUUGAAUGUUAAGACCUUAUGUUAGAUAAUGUUAUAACUUAUUUAUGGUUA